This 1452-nucleotide long non-coding RNA is filed under the name Struthio camelus australis. RNAcentral's name for it is "lncRNA (ENSSCUG00000004649.1)". The record is from RNAcentral. Lineage: Eukaryota; Metazoa; Chordata; Aves; Struthioniformes; Struthionidae.
AAUAUACAGCAGCAAGCGUUCACGCACAGCGUUAGAAUCGUGUUGGGGUGCUGUUUGGGGGGGGGUGCAGGAGGUGCAUUGAGAACCAUGUAUUCUCAGCAGAGGGAGCAAAGCACUUUCUCCCAGGGCUUAGUUUCCCACUUGUUCUUUGUGUGUGAGAGCAUGAGGGAGAUUAAAAGAUUGGAUUGGUAGUCUGUUACUGAAAACCUUCCUCACAGGAAAGAAAAAUGGGAUUAUUUUCCCUCUCUUGGGGCUUUAAAACUCUGGCUCUCACCAGGGCUUUGUGAUUAAUGGACGUGACAAAGUUUGCACUCCAGGAUCGGUUUUUAAUGAAGCUAUUCUCAGGUUCGGUUGCCUCUCUCUCUGUGUAAUGCCCCCAAAUUGAACUCAUAGGUUACUUCACUAGACCGAUUUGUUAGCUCAGGUCUUUGCAGGGGAGGGGGGAGUCCCUGGUGUUUGGAGGUCAGUGUUGAUCCCAAGGCUGCUGACUCAGCGGUUGCAUUAUAUCUGUGACCUCCUUCGCGCUGCGUGUGCCCUGCAGCCUGCAGCAGGGGUUCUUUUACCGCUGGAACAUAACAAUUCGGACAAACUGUCAGGCUGCGGAGGUGACCGUCGAGAGGAUACAGCUGACACCUUUGAUUUUCCCUUCCCUUCAAGAAAGGUUGAUAAAGCAACGAAACGAAAGAAGCAAAAGGUAUAAAAUGUGAGAGUUGAAUGAGCUGCCUUUGCAUCUAAGAAAAUAGUUUCCCACUUGUUCUUUGUGUGUGAGAGCAUGAGGGAGAUUAAAAGAUUGGAUUGGUAGUCUGAUACUGAAAACCUUCCUCACAGGAAAGAAAAAUGGGAUUAUUUUCCCUCUCUUGGGGCUUUAAAACUCUGGCUCUCAUUCAGUAAAGCACUUAAGUAUGCGCUUACCUUGAAGAGUGAGAGUAAUCUAUUGACUUUAAGCAUGUACUGAAAUGCUUUGCUGGAUUGGGGCCAGAGAGCUCCACAUCUCGCUGGGUGAAACCCGGCAGGGAAAAGCUCUGCUGCUUCUCUUUCUCUUCAGUUUAUUUUGAGCAAAGAAAGUCCACAGGUUACAAAUAACGAAGGAAAGAGUAAUAGGAAUUAUCUCUAAACUAGCAGCAAUAUGGAAUUACCCUUUCCUAAAUGUAUUUCUGUUCUUGUUCAGUAGUUCAACAAAAGCUUGAAAUUUAAAAAGGCACAUUCAUUAAAAAAGUAACUUGUUAUGAGAUUUUGUAAUGUGUGAAGUACAAGUAAUCAGCUAGACUAUAAUACAGAAAUGUCACAGAUACUUGAUUUAAAACUAGCAAAAUACUACUGACUUCAGAGGAACAGCUAAUAACACACUCUAAUAUUGCUCUUCUAGUUCAUUAAAUAGUCUUCAAAAAGAACGAGGAAUAUGUUUUGUGUUUUAGCAAUAAAUGUCCAUGAGAAAGAAAUCCUUUAGAUUUA